Non-coding RNA from Oryctolagus cuniculus (rabbit), 1269 nucleotides. The record is from RefSeq and is a predicted model, not a curated record. Lineage: Eukaryota; Metazoa; Chordata; Mammalia; Lagomorpha; Leporidae.
GUCGGCGGGGGGCCUUCCCUCGGAAGUCACUGGAGAUGCAUGUGUGAGCUGGCACUGCCGCACCCAUCACCGCUGCUGGGUUGCCUGCAGCUGCCUGUCUAAGGCGUCGUCACCCACACACAGGGACUGGUGUAUACCAUAACUGACGUGCUGGAGCUUCACCACUGGAUGUGUACCCAUUUUGAGGGACACCCCUUGUUUGAGCUGUGCCCCUGGAGGAGCUGAGUGAAGACCCCAUCGUGGGACAUCUAGGCACAUCAACCGAGGAGGGAAAGAAAGUUCUACGCAAUGGAGGGAAGAAUUUCCCAGCCAUCUUCCGGAGAGUGCAGGACCCCAUCCUCCAGGGACUGAACCCCGAUCCCACCCUGCCUGCGCACUGACUGCCUUCCCUGCUGGCCCCCAUCUUCCCAGGACUGGAAAGAAGAUCAGGCCUCCUGGGCCUUCCCAGCUGAGCCUGAGAGAGACAGCAACCUCUCAGAGAAGUUGGGGGGCAGCCGAGGGCAGAGCCCUGCUGUUUACAACUGCCCCAACUCCUCUCUGCUUGUCCCUCCACUGCCAGCAGAGAGCAAAAGGAGCUGACUGGAAAGGUCAAAGGACCUUGGACCAGAGGGGAUGGGGGGGGUCCUGCUCUCUUUUAGCACUCCCCCUGUGGGAUGCAGUGUUCCACUUUCUAAACUGCCUGCUAGGCGCAAAUCCCUGCCCACUAGUGUUUGCUUUGCAGUGCUGGGGAUAGCGUGAGUGUGUGUUCACGUGCCCAGCUGUUGUUUCUCAGGAGUGGGUAUCACGUGCCUUCCCCAGCCCCCAGCCCCAGCCCGCCCACCUAAGACUUGACCCCGGGGGAAAUCUGUGCUCCCUCUGCUGCUGCUCUCCCUGGAGAGUCCCUGGGAGGGUAGGGGAUGGAGACCCUCGCCUUGUCCAUAUUGGUCAUCGAUUCCAACACUUCAGAGCUGACCAACUGGCACAGAGCCUGGUAGGGGUGGGGAGGCAAGGAGCCAAGAGCUGAACUGGAGGAUUCUGAGGCUGAAGGCAGAAAGGGGCUACCACCCAGGAAGCCCCCCAGAGGGAACUGCGGCCCCUGGGCACUCGGAGCGCUCAGCCCUGGCCCCACCCAGCAGCCCCCAGAAAUCUCUGACUUUUCUAAUGUGCAAAGAAGUUCCUUUAUUUCUGCUCCUCAAGCCCCAGAUUCCCGUGGCUGGAAGGAGGGGUUUGUUGACCUUCAAGACACCCCUACCCCCCACCAAGAAUAAAAUAAAGAUGAAGGUGCCUGGA